RNAcentral lists this ribosomal RNA (261 nucleotides) under Triticum aestivum (bread wheat). RNAcentral's name for it is "partial small subunit ribosomal RNA". The record is from RNAcentral. Lineage: Eukaryota; Viridiplantae; Streptophyta; Magnoliopsida; Poales; Poaceae.
AUGGGUUUCCGCGAUAUCGAGCUCUUUAACCUGGCUUUACUGGCCAGGCAGGCCUGGCGCCUCCUACAGGAACCCACCUCUUUGAGUGCGCGGAUCCUAAAGGCUGUUUACUACCCUUCUUCCACCAUUCUUGACGCAGAAGUGGGCAAACAUCCUUCACAAGUUUGGCGCUCCAUAAUUGAAGGCAGAGACACUUUAAAGCUUGGACUUGUGAAACGGAUUGGUUCGGGAGAGGACACAAACAUAUGGAAUGACAAUUGA